ACACAUUCUGGAUCAAAGCAGACAUGCGGCCGGCGCUCUGCGAUCCAAGGCACACUGGGGUCUUUCAUCCGGUGUUUUUAAAAAGGAGGAAACAAAAGGCUCAGAGGCAGGGCCCCAGGUGCGCUCGCCCGCGGGGGCUGCGGCGCGGACGACCGAAGGUAACAGGCACGUCCCGGCCGAACUUCGAGACCCGGGCCCGGCAGCCGCCCCGGCGGGGAAGUUUCGUUUCCCGGACAGGGGAAGCCGAAGCGCCUCCUCGGGACAGGACCCCGCGCCGCCGGGACGCGCAGCCUUGAUACAAACGUCCUUGGGUGGCCGAGGAGUCCAGGAGUCGUUGCAGUCGUGGUCUCGGGGUUACUGGGGAUUGGGGGUGAGCCGGUAGAGACUGCGGAGCCCCGAGCACCACUCGGCCACCAGACAGGACCGGGGCCCCGCUCCUUUCCUCUUUUACUUUGAUUACGGUUGGAGAGGUUGGGUUUUGUGGUCGCAGCCCCACCUCGCCUGACCUCCCAUUCGCGGGCUGGGACAAAGGCGGCUGCAGCCGUGUCCAGCAGGCAGGGGACAGCCCCGCGCGGGCCCGACGCCCCCUCUGACCACCCGCCCGGGCUCGCGGGAGGGGAGAAAGAAAACCACGACUUCCUGGAAAAGUCUUCACCGUAAAUAUUAAUCUCUUUGGCAUGAAGAGGAAAACACUGCAGCUAAUUUUUCAUGGGAUAACAAAAAUAUAAACUGCAAUUUCUUUUAUUUUUUCCCUUUCGAUGGUCUUUUUAAACGAGGAGUAAAGAUUUCAACGCCAGGUCCAUUUUCCAAAUUUUGUACCAGAACCUUGAGGAUGCUUGUCUCUCGCGCGCUUCUCCGCAGACCGAACCCUCUCCGGAACUCAGAGCUGUUCACCCAAGUCAGCGGAGGAGGCCUCCUGGGACUUGAGCCUGAGGGUGGCGAAGAACCCUAGGCAGAGAUCAUCAACUUGGUACCGAUGAGUGACGCGGAGCUUGAACAUUCCAGCGACUUGCUCCAGGGCCACUCCCAGUUAAGAGGCUGAGUGUUAACUGCAAGAGGCUGAGUGUUAACUACGCCGUUGGCUCCAGGAACCGAACCGGGUUUGGAUACAGACCCAGUCACACCAUCCAUGAAAAGCUGUUUCUAUAAUAUGAAAAAUUGUUAAAUGACGCUUUAGUAAAAGCCAUUUAAAGAUCUUUUCUAAUAAAUUUUUCAUCUUUCCAAACAA
Molecule: long non-coding RNA, 1228 nt
Organism: Homo sapiens (human)
Lineage: Eukaryota; Metazoa; Chordata; Mammalia; Primates; Hominidae
Gene: DSP-AS1
Product: DSP antisense RNA 1
Exons: 2
Source: RefSeq, marked validated